Molecule: long non-coding RNA, 219 nt
Filed under: Homo sapiens (human)
Lineage: Eukaryota; Metazoa; Chordata; Mammalia; Primates; Hominidae
Description: non-protein coding lnc-AMELY-9:1
Source: RNAcentral
AUGUAGUACCUGGGGCAUCCUGGCGCUGGCAGCGGGUACCACCCAGGCGGGUAUGGAGGGACUCCUGGAGGGCCUGCAUUUCCCAGAAAAACUCAGGAUCCACUAUAUGAUUACUUUGCUGCUGUAGCUGGACAUGAUGGGCAAAUAGAUGCUGAUGAAUUGCAGAGAUGUCUGACACAGUCUGGCAUUGCUGGAGGAUACAAACCUUUUAACCUUGAA